RNAcentral lists this long non-coding RNA (1961 nucleotides) under Homo sapiens (human). RNAcentral describes it as "non-protein coding lnc-PIEZO2-13:1". The record is from RNAcentral. Lineage: Eukaryota; Metazoa; Chordata; Mammalia; Primates; Hominidae.
CCCAGUCCUCGUGAGUCUGUAAUGAGGCCUGGAAGAGAGCACACUUUGGCAGCCUCCGAAGUGCUCCCCCCAAGCGAGGGAAGCCAGCUCAUGCUAAUCCCAGAUGGGCAAACCUGGAGGCCUCUGGCCUCUUCAAAGCGUGAACACACAGUCAGCACUUACCAAGUAUGCACCCCACACCUAACACUGGCCAUGAACUAUCUAUUUUAAAAAUAUUGGAGGCUGUGGUAUGUUAUAGUGACUUGAAUUUGGGGGAUUAAGUUUGUUUUAACCAGGAAAUACAGGUUGUUUCCAUCUUCCAUGUGAAAGACGUGUCUAAAAUAUAUGCAUGCUUUUAUUUGCCCUCCAUAGAACUGAAGAAAAUCGAGUCUUUCUGUGAUGGUGAAGGAUCUUGCUGCAGCCGGGGGCAAUCAUUCUGAAAUUGCAGCCUUGUCAUAGAUCAGCAUUUACAGCACACCUGGGGACCAUGUGGACCAAGGAUGGGCAUCAACCCCUGCAAGGAAGCAGGUUUUGUUUUAAAGAAAUCUCUGAUGUCAGAGUAUUUUACUAGGUUUUGCCUUUUACUUAUCAAACCAGAUCGGAACUCUGUGCAGGGGCUGGCUGGGUUCCCAGUGAGGGGCUGGCUCCCAGGUAAUCAAGUUUUGUUUAUUCUUCAUUUAUGAGGCACAUUCAUCUUCCCCAAGUAGAGGGAAAGUGGUGCCGAUGGCAGAAGCCCAACUUCAGCUGAACCCAAGACCAGCUUGGGCCUUUAUAAUCUGACUGAAGUCAGAAUUCCUUAAAGUCAUCUGUCUCCCCAAAUUUAUUUCCAACCCUGAGCACUUGAAUUAUUCUAAGGGAAAUGGAAGUGGAGAGGCAGGAGGGGGUGAAAUUUACCCCUGUUUUUCUCAUUAACUCCUUAUGAGGGUUUAGAGAUUUGUCACUAAUCUUAGGGAAAUAUAGAUACAUUUCGUUUGGUCCAAGACAAUACAUUUCUGAGUUUACACAUUGAGAAGAGGAGUCUUGGUUUGUCUGUGGAUGAUUAAGCUCUGUGUUAAGACCAGCCCCCGAGUGCCCCACACCUCCCAAAGUUCAUGGCAGUGUCCUCAGGUCUCUGGAAUGCCAGCAGGCCUUAGCAAGCAGCAGUCUGAUGAGUGAAGUGUAAAGGAGUCAGAAACAUACGGAUUGCAUUUCCCUGAGAAAAUAGAUCACUUGAAAAACGAAGGGGCAAAGUGCUUGGGAAAAUGCAUUAUGGAUUUUGUCGAGGCCAAAAAGGAUGUAAACUACUUCAGAUAUUCUCUAAAUGCCACAUGUGAGCAGGCAUUUCAAGCAACACACUCUGUGUGGGAGUGUAUAUAGGAUUGUGCAAGACUUGGGAACUUCACCAAGACCAUGUCCAUUUGUGCAUCCUCGAAGGCCCUCUAAGUGGUUUUGCAAACAGUCAAAAAGAAUAUACACUGACAAGACAAGUGCUAUUAUCAAAGGGGGAAACUGGAAUUUCACUCAUUGUCCUUUGUAAGAAAGAUGCCCUGCCCUUUUUUCUAAUGUUCUGAGUUGAAAAAUAUCAAAUGGAACAAUCAAUGCAAAGGUUUUCUAUAGACUUGUGGCUAAUUUUUUAAGAUGUUUAAAAUUGUGUGGCUGCAAACACAUCCUGCUUUAACCAGGACACAUUUUAGCAAUCUUCCUAAAGAUUGUUGUCAAAAUGGAUGAAAGAAGAGCCCCAAAACAUACUCUUCACAGCUAGCUUGCCCAGAGACGAGGAGAUGGCAAAACCCAGCCCAGUGACCCCCAGUUUCCCCCAAGGUUGCAUGCCACCUCCCAGCCAGGACUCCCAGAAGCAAGGAAGGCUUCCUCUCAACCUACCAGGCUGGUCCUGACCCAGGCCCUCAUGACGUUCUGGGCAGUGAAUCACCCACAGCAUCAUACUCAGGCCUUGGCAGAGCCUACAGGGUGAGGAACCUGGGAGAGCAAAGCAGACGGGAAGG